AUUCUUACAACAUGAUCUCAAAGUAAUACUAUCAUGAUUGCCUUUUUACUUAUGUUCAAGUCAAGUUGUUUUCCCGAGUCACAGUCACUAAAUUAUUUAUAUCUAGAGUUAUGGAACUUCAAAUUAAAUUUCACUAAUUUUCCUAGAAACUAGACUCACAUAUAUUCUUGCCAUAAAAUUUUCAUAAUUUUUGGUUUAGCCAAUUAGUACAGUUUAAUCUUCAAAGCCAC
RNAcentral lists this long non-coding RNA (230 nucleotides) under Gossypium barbadense (sea-island cotton). Its description in RNAcentral is "long non-coding RNA (GBAR_LNC002297)". Lineage: Eukaryota; Viridiplantae; Streptophyta; Magnoliopsida; Malvales; Malvaceae. The record is from RNAcentral.